RNAcentral lists this ribosomal RNA (468 nucleotides) under uncultured bacterium. RNAcentral's name for it is "partial 16S ribosomal RNA". It matches the Rfam family "Bacterial small subunit ribosomal RNA", at positions 28 to 507 of the family's 1533-position model. The record is from RNAcentral.
GACGAACGCUGGCGGCGUGCUUAACACAUGCAAGUCGAACGGAAAGGCCCUGCUUUUGUGGGGUGCUCGAGUGGCGAACGGGUGAGUAACACGUGAGUAACCUGCCCUUGACUUUGGGAUAACUUCAGGAAACUGGGGCUAAUACCGGAUAGGAGCUCCUGCUGCAUGGUGGGGGUUGGAAAGUUUCGGCGGUUGGGGAUGGACUCGCGGCUUAUCAGCUUGUUGGUGGGGUAGUGGCUUACCAAGGCUUUGACGGGUAGCCGGCCUGAGAGGGUGAACGGCCACAUUGGGACUGAGAUACGGCCCAGACUCCUACGGGAGGCAGCAGUGGGGAAUAUUGCACAAUGGGCGGAAGCCUGAUGCAGCAACGCCGCGUGCGGGAUGACGGCCUUCGGGUUGUAAAACGCUUUCGCCUGUGACGAAGCGUGAGUGACGGUAAUGGGUAAAGAAGCACCGGCUAACUACGUG